GUCAGGAUGGCCGAGCGGUCUAAGGCGCUGCGUUCAGGUCGUAGUCGGGUUCUGCCGGCGUGGGUUCGAAUCCCACUUCUGACA
RNAcentral lists this transfer RNA (84 nucleotides) under Haliotis rufescens (red abalone). RNAcentral's name for it is "tRNA-Leu". It matches the Rfam family "tRNA". From Rfam's summary of the family: Transfer RNA (tRNA) molecules are approximately 80 nucleotides in length. Their secondary structure includes four short double-helical elements and three loops (D, anti-codon, and T loops). The record is from RNAcentral. Lineage: Eukaryota; Metazoa; Mollusca; Gastropoda; Lepetellida; Haliotidae.